CAAUAGCGUAUAUUAAAGUUGUUGCAGUUAAAAAGCUCGUAGUUGGAUUUCUGGUGGGAGCGAUCGGUCUGGCGCUUAGCGCGAGUACUUGCAUCGUCUCCGGCCAUCCUUGGGGAGAGUCUGUCUGGCAUUAGGUUGUCGGGCAGAGGAUCCUCACCGUUUACUGUGAAAAAAUUAGAGUGUUCAAAGCAGGCUUAUGCCGUUGAAUAUAUUAGCAUGGAAUAAUAAGAUAGGACUUUGGUACUAUUUUGUUGGUUUGCGCACCAAAGUAAUGAUUAAUAGGGACAGUUGGGGGUAUUCGUAUUCCGUUGUCAGAGGUGAAAUUCUUGGAUUUACGGAAGACGAACUACUGCGAAAGCAUUUACCAAGGAUGUUUUCAUUAA
RNAcentral lists this ribosomal RNA (383 nucleotides) under uncultured eukaryote. Its description in RNAcentral is "partial 18S ribosomal RNA". It matches the Rfam family "Eukaryotic small subunit ribosomal RNA", at positions 592 to 976 of the family's 1831-position model. The record is from RNAcentral.